This 718-nucleotide ribosomal RNA is filed under the name uncultured Staphylococcus sp. Its description in RNAcentral is "bacterial SSU rRNA". It matches the Rfam family "Bacterial small subunit ribosomal RNA", at positions 57 to 757 of the family's 1533-position model. Lineage: Bacteria; Bacillati; Bacillota; Bacilli; Caryophanales; Staphylococcaceae. The record is from RNAcentral.
GCAAGUCGAGCGAACAGACGAGGAGCUUGCUCCUCUGACGUUAGCGGCGGACGGGUGAGUAACACGUGGAUAACCUACCUAUAAGACUGGGAUAACUUCGGGAAACCGGAGCUAAUACCGGAUAAUAUAUUGAACCGCAUGGUUCAAUAGUGAAAGACGGUUUUGCUGUCACUUAUAGAUGGAUCCGCGCCGCAUUAGCUAGUUGGUAAGGUAACGGCUUACCAAGGCAACGAAGCGUAGCCGACCUGAGAGGGUGAUCGGCCACACUGGAACUGAGACACGGUCCAGACUCCUACGGGAGGCAGCAGUAGGGAAUCUUCCGCAAUGGGCGAAAGCCUGACGGAGCAACGCCGCGUGAGUGAUGAAGGUCUUCGGAUCGUAAAACUCUGUUAUUAGGGAAGAACAAAUGUGUAAGUAACUAUGCACGUCUUGACGGUACCUAAUCAGAAAGCCACGGCUAACUACGUGCCAGCAGCCGCGGUAAUACGUAGGUGGCAAGCGUUAUCCGGAAUUAUUGGGCGUAAAGCGCGCGUAGGCGGUUUUUUAAGUCUGAUGUGAAAGCCCACGGCUCAACCGUGGAGGGUCAUUGGAAACUGGAAAACUUGAGUGCAGAAGAGGAAAGUGGAAUUCCAUGUGUAGCGGUGAAAUGCGCAGAGAUAUGGAGGAACACCAGUGGCGAAGGCGACUUUCUGGUCUGUAACUGACGCUGAUGUGCGAA